Postia placenta MAD-698-R-SB12 is the source of this 78-nucleotide non-coding RNA. The record is from the annotation of a RefSeq genome assembly. NCBI's taxonomy places the organism in Eukaryota, Fungi, Basidiomycota, Agaricomycetes, Polyporales, Adustoporiaceae.
UCCCUGGUAGUAUAUCGGUUAGUACACGCGCCUGUCAUUGGGCCGCGCGAAAGCGGGGUUCGACUCCCCGCCAGGGAG